Molecule: ribosomal RNA, 119 nt
Filed under: Betta splendens (Siamese fighting fish)
Lineage: Eukaryota; Metazoa; Chordata; Actinopteri; Anabantiformes; Osphronemidae
Source: RNAcentral
GCUUACGGCCAUACCACCCUGAGCACGCCCGAUCUCGUCUGAUCUCGGAAGCUAAGCACGGUCGGGCCUGGUUAGUACUUGGAUGGGCGACCGCCUGGGAAUACCAGGUGCUGUAAGCU